GACGUAGGGGGCCAGCGUUGUUCGGAAUUACUGGGUGUAAAGGGUUCGUAGGCGGUGUAGCAAGUCGGGAGUGAAAUCUCUGGGCUUAACCCAGAGGCUGCUUCCGAAACUGCUGUGCUUGAGUGUGGGAGAGGCGCGUGGAAUUGCAGGUGUAGCGGUGAAAUGCGUAGAUAUCUGCAGGAACACCCGUGGCGAAAGCGGCGCGCUGGACCACUACUGACGCUGAGACGCGAAAGCGUGGGGAGCGAACAGG
RNAcentral lists this ribosomal RNA (253 nucleotides) under uncultured bacterium. Its description in RNAcentral is "partial 16S ribosomal RNA". It matches the Rfam family "Bacterial small subunit ribosomal RNA", at positions 524 to 776 of the family's 1533-position model. The record is from RNAcentral.